AAGAAAAGAGAAAGUUAUUCUACUCCAGCAGUAAAUUAUAACUGAGAGACUAUUUUUGUUAGACGUUUGGUUCCCAACGGAGACUGUUUUUGAGGCAAACAUGCCUGUUUUUCUUUCGCUCCCCGGUUCAUGUACGUCCCUCAAAAUUAUUGCCCCUCUUCAUUUUUUUCCAAGUAGCUUAAAAUGAGGCAGUAAAUGUCUGUGCAGCAUCUCACAUGAAGAGGCUUAUAAAGGAGAGAACACAGACAUUGUUUGAAAAAUCAGUUUCCUAAUGUUAGAACGCAAAUUUCCGUUUCCCCUCGCCUGAAUGUUCCCAACGUGUUCCUGGUGUUGUGAACGAGUCUGACCCGAACAAUCUUCUUCUGCUGCUUCUUCUCAGCUAAUCCAUGAUAUCAACCUCCGUUCUCAUUAAACACAGCGAAGACAAACAUGGCUGCCGUCAGUCACUCAGGUGUGAUGAUCCGAGAUGUGACCCUGCCCUCCUAAUCCCGUCCUGAUGAGGAGAUACAACUCAUGUCACAUCAGGUCCAGUCACCGGACGGACUGCCUACAGCCAAGGUGGGACAGAGACAACUGACACAUCAGUCUCUCAGUAAUCACUGUCUUAAUACGCUGAUGUGAGGAGGCUGCGACCUGAUGCCUUAAUCACCAGUGUGAGCGGCCACAGGGUAAAAGGUCCAAACAUCACAGAGACGCACUCGUAUCCAGGCCGAAGAAACGUCCGCUCAACAGUGGAGGGAGUAAAGAAUCGAUCAUAAUCUUAAAAAGCAAAUUACAUGUCAACAGCUGUCACAUAGAAACAAUGUUAUUUUCUUUUUAUUGCUAUCCAAUUACCAGCUAUCGCUACGGAAAGCAAAAGUCUUUUUACAAGUUGUCAGAGAGCUGCGUUUGCGGCGGUUUGUCAUCUCAGUGUCUCCCCUCCUCUUGCUCCAUAUAUCUUCUGUCUUCUGGGCUUCUCCUCCCACCCCACCCUCUCCUCUCCCCACAUAUGGGAUUCGCAUUUGGCUUGGCCGAACAUUUUCUUAAUGUGAUAUUAUGAUACAUUAUCUGAAGCCAUUUACUCCCUGUCACCACCUCUCAUGUCGACACAAGCUGAGUGGGCCGAGGAGAGGCGGUCAGAUUCUGUCCAGGAGCCUGUUGGUGGCGUAUACGUUUUCACCCUCUCCUGCUGCUGGCUGUAAAUCGCCUCUGUCGAAGGUGGAAGAUCUCCCAGCAUCGUGAUCCAACUGUAUGUUCAGCACGGAUGUUCUCAUCAGGAGAAGAUACUUAG
This is a non-coding RNA of Paralichthys olivaceus (Japanese flounder), 1270 nucleotides long. Lineage: Eukaryota; Metazoa; Chordata; Actinopteri; Pleuronectiformes; Paralichthyidae. The record is from RefSeq and is a predicted model, not a curated record.